CCAACUUAUUGAAACUGUCUUGGAGUAAAAACCUGAAAACUCAAUCCCAUCCUUUCCUAUGCAGUAUGGGAUCUUGUUAAGUACAAUUCAGUGGCGGAUCCAGAAAUUUUCAUAAGUGGGGGCCCACUGACUGACCUAAGAGGGGGCCCACUCCAGUCACGUUUCAGUGAUUCCCUAUAUAAGCAACCAAAUUUUUUCCCAAAAAGGGGGGGGCCCCUCCCUAAAUCCGCCUCUGCAAUUUCAGAGAGAUUUGUACAUGUUAAACACAAGUUACUGUCUGGACACUGGCAACAUGCUUCUUUUUGGGCCUUUUUUGGCCCCUAAUUCCAACAUACUUCAAGCAAUUAACCAAAAACUCCAUCUUAGCCUCUCCUUUGUUAUAUAGAACAUUUAGGUACAAUUUAAGAGAGAUCCAUACCAUAACACACAAAUUGUUGUCUGGAAACUAUAAAAAUGCUUGUUUUUGGCCCUCUAUACCUAAACUUUGGCCUUAUAACCCCUAAAAUGAAUCCAAAUAUUCUACUUGUUGUUUUAAACAUUGUGGUCAACUUUAGAGCAAUUGAAAUACAAGUUAUUAUCCUGACCGCCUAAUAUGACUGAUGGUAAUGAAAGUAUUAACAGCUACCAGAAUAAUACAAUUAUUAAUAUACUCACAAAAUUACAACAAAAGAAAAAUAUAAAUAUUACCAAGAAGUGCUUAAAACAAAUUAGAAAUCUUUCAAAUUUUUUAUAGUAUAACUAAUCGCCGUAUUUGAAUAUCAAAAAUAAGACAACGCCUGACCAAACGAUGCAUGGAUUAAACGAGUGCUCAGCACAAGUUUAAUCCAUAGCGGCGUUCGGUCACAAGUUGUCUUAUUUUUGAUAUUCAAAUACGUCGAUUAGUUAUUCUUUUUAUUACAUUGGCAAAUGGCUUUUUUUUUAUGAAAUUAAUGUAGAAAAUGUAAGGAACUAUAUCUUUUUCCUACGCAUUGACAAUUUAAUUUGAUCCGACGUUAUCGAAGUCUUGACAACGCCUAUUGUUGUAUGACGUCAGAGAGUGAAAUAACCACGUUUAUUUCAUGUGAAUUAUCGGUUUUUAUCUAACUGGGAAAUCAAUGUAAUUCAUUGCAACCAAUGUAAUAAUUAAAUUUUUCUACACAUGUAGUACCUUAAAUCAAUUUCACAGCUACAUUAGAACAAAAACUUCUAUAUAGAUUAUUCUACUAUACAACAAUAAUGUAUAAAUGAUAACUGUUGAUUAAGAAAGCCAUACAACAUGUCAGUAUCUUGCAAUUAUAAAAA
This 1281-nucleotide long non-coding RNA is filed under the name Mytilus galloprovincialis (Mediterranean mussel). The record is from RNAcentral. Lineage: Eukaryota; Metazoa; Mollusca; Bivalvia; Mytilida; Mytilidae.